GACGAACGCUGGCGGCGUGCUUAACACAUGCAAGUCGAGCGGUAAGGCCCUUUCGGGGGUGCACGAGCGGCGAACGGGUGAGUAACACGUGGGUGACCUGCCCUUAGCUCUGGGAUAAGCCUGGGAAACUGGGUCUAAUACCGGAUAUGACUCCAUGACGCAUGUUGUGGGGUGGAAAGCCUUGUGCGGCUAGGGAUGGGCCCGCGGCCUAUCAGCCUGUUGGUGGGGUGAUGGCCUACCAAGGCGACGACGGGUAGCCGGCCUGAGAGGGCGACCGGCCACACUGGGACUGAGACACGGCCCAGACUCCUACGGGAGGCAGCAGUGGGGAAUCUUGCGCAAUGGGCGAAAGCCUGACGCAGCGACGCCGCGUGAGGGAUGACGGCCUC
RNAcentral lists this ribosomal RNA (389 nucleotides) under uncultured bacterium. RNAcentral describes it as "bacterial SSU rRNA". It matches the Rfam family "Bacterial small subunit ribosomal RNA", at positions 28 to 418 of the family's 1533-position model. The record is from RNAcentral.